UGCGACCUACGGGGGGCAGCAGUGGGGGAUAUUGGACAAUGGGGGGAACCCUGAUCCAGCGACGCCGCGUGAGUGAAGAAGUAGUUCGGUAUGUAAAGCUCUGUCAGCAGGGAAGAAAGAAAUGACGGUACCUGACCAAGAAGCCCCGGCUAACUACGUGCCAGCAGCCGCGGUAAUACGUAGGGGGCAAGCGUUAUCCGGAUUUAUUGGGUUUAAAGGGUGCGCAGGCGGAGGUGCAAGUCAGCGGUCAAAUUGCGGGGCUCAACCCCGUACUGCCGUUGAAACUGCAUCCCUUGAGUGCGCGA
RNAcentral lists this ribosomal RNA (305 nucleotides) under uncultured bacterium. RNAcentral's name for it is "bacterial SSU rRNA". It matches the Rfam family "Bacterial small subunit ribosomal RNA", at positions 333 to 653 of the family's 1533-position model. The record is from RNAcentral.